RNAcentral lists this ribosomal RNA (535 nucleotides) under uncultured bacterium. Its description in RNAcentral is "bacterial SSU rRNA". It matches the Rfam family "Bacterial small subunit ribosomal RNA", at positions 53 to 564 of the family's 1533-position model. RNAcentral also lists the same sequence under 1 other name. The record is from RNAcentral.
ACAUGCAAGUCGAACGGUAACAGGCCAAACAAUAUCCUUCGGGGUGUUGUGGUGCUGACGAGUGGCGGACGGGUGAGUAAUGCUUGGGAAUCUGCCCAGUAGUGGGGGACAACACGAGGAAACUCGUGCUAAUACCGCAUACGUCCUACGGGAGAAAGUGGGGGAUCUUCGGACCUCACGCUAUUGGAUGAGCCCAAGUCGGAUUAGCUUGUUGGUGGGGUAAUGGCCUACCAAGGCGACGAUCCGUAGCUGGUCUGAGAGGACGAUCAGCCACACUGGGACUGAGACACGGCCCAGACUCCUACGGGAGGCAGCAGUGGGGAAUAUUGGACAAUGGGGGCAACCCUGAUCCAGCAAUGCCGCGUGUGUGAAGAAAGGCUGCCGGUUGUAAAGCCUUUCAGUAGAAAAAAAAAGCCUGGGGCUAAUACCUCCGGGUCUUGACGUUACCUACACAAGAAGCACCGGCUAACUCCGUGCCACAACCCCCGGUAAUACCGGAGGGUGCAAGCGUUAAUCGGAAUUACUGGGGCGUAAA